This 253-nucleotide ribosomal RNA is filed under the name uncultured bacterium. Its description in RNAcentral is "partial 16S ribosomal RNA". It matches the Rfam family "Bacterial small subunit ribosomal RNA", at positions 524 to 776 of the family's 1533-position model. The record is from RNAcentral.
CACGAACUGUGCAAACGUUAUUCGGAAUCACUGGGCUUAAAGAGUUCGUAGGCGGCCUGUUAAGUCGGGUGUGAAAUCCCUCGUCUCAACCGAGGAAUUGCACUCGAAACUGGCGGGCUUGAGUGAGAUAGAGGUGAGCGGAACUGAUGGUGGAGCGGUGAAAUGCGUUGAUAUCAUCAGGAACACCGGUUGCGAAGGCGGCUCACUGGGUCUUGACUGACGCUGAGGAACGAAAGCUAGGGGAGCGAACGGG